Molecule: long non-coding RNA, 419 nt
Filed under: Homo sapiens (human)
Lineage: Eukaryota; Metazoa; Chordata; Mammalia; Primates; Hominidae
Description: HSALNT0303119
Source: RNAcentral
CAGGAGAUGACAUGGGAAGACAUGGAAGCUUUGUGUCCCUUCCCAUAUACCUUGCUCUCUGCAUCUCUUCCAUUUGGCUCCUCCUGAGUUUGAUUAUUGGCGUGCCUCUCAACAUCCAGCAGAAUGUGGGAAUAUUGCUGAGUUGAGUAAAUAUUUCCUUCCAUAAAGUCUUGAGGAACACAUGGAAUCUAGUGAGGCAUAGAGAAGCUCGGAUGUGCCUGGUUAUCUCCUCACCCAGCCUGAUCUCAGCCUCAUGACUUGGCAUUCCUUUCCUCGGCCACUUCCUUGGCUGGCUUCAGCCUCGACCAGAACCUGCCUCCAUCUGUUACUCAGGUUUAUUGAGACUCAUGGCUCACAAGCCUGGCUGCCUCCCCUGGCUGCGUGCCUCAUCAAGCCCAGCAGGAGCCAGGGAGACCAGC